GGGGUUACCCAGGUCUGGGACCCCAUGCAUGAGUAAUAAAGCUGCUCCUGACCUCACCAUUCCUGAAGUACCACUUGUUCUUCCUCUGCCUGGGUAAAAAGUAGAAUUUAUUUCUACAACAUUUUGGUGUGUUGGCUGGGAACAACAAGCACGUUGGGCCUUUGAGCCAUGGGCUUAGGAGGAUGCAUGGUGGGGGAUAGGAAGGAGAGCCAAGGAAGGGGGAGAGCUUGCUGCUGAGGACUUUCUGCCGUCUCUUGCUUGGUUACUCCUGCGCAGCCCCCACGAUACCUUCCAGGCCUGACUUCCAAAGGGCUGAGUGAGGCCAGGACCUGGUGCCUAAGUCAGACCAGGUUCUCUGGGCUAUCUCCAGGGUUUUUCCAGUCCUGCCAAUGGAAGCACACUUCCUUACCUUUCAUGGAGGUCUUUGGAACCCGUCUCAGGUUCCACCCCCGUGGAUGCAUCACUCCGAAGUGAAACUGGCCUACAAACCAGAAAAAGGACACUUCAGCCAGCGGAUGGACAGCAGCCCCUGAUCUGGAGAAUCCCCUUCGCUUGAGGCUACAGAUGGAUCCACCCACCAAGGCGGCCUUAGACAUCAAGCCCUGCUCCGGCCACACUCGGGAAGCUGGUUGGACCAUGCAUGGCAGAAACUUGAGGACCUUUUACAUGUAUGUUUUGUUAUUUUUACCGUUCCUGUAGUGACUGUCUUUGCAGUCAGCCUCGCCACAGUGGCCCCUGACCGUUUGGAUUGGGAGGCCUACUUGCCUCUGGUUACCUGAUUCUGUGUGUGGACAUAAUUGUUUUCAAAUGUUUGCUAAAAUGGGCCUGCUUGCCAGUGUCCUCCUACACCUGCCCCUCACUCUCCCUUCUGUUUGUGAGGACUUAUCUCCCAAACCCCUAGUAACUGCAGUGAAGCCAGGGUGUGUACCCAGCCUGACAGAAGGGCCACAAAGAACAAGGGAGCUCUCUGGUCUCCCACACCCUGGGCUUCUUCUAGUUGCUCCCACAGACGCCUGUGUCCCAGCUAAUUGGUGCUGCACACAUGGCUCUCAGCCGCUCUAACGUGGCUCUUGCUUCAGAUUGAGGGAUUUGCUUAGGGCCAGGUCCUGCCAGUUUGAGGGAGUCAUACUUGACCCAGGUUUGAUCCCUCCAAAGGUAUCACCUAAUUGCUCCUUGGAUCUCAUCCUAGGUCCUGUGUCUCCGUGGGAAAUGCUACAAAUCCCUUGACUCACACUUCUAAGAUCUGCGCCACACAGAUGGCACUUACCUGGCCUGUGCUCAGGGACUGUAUCAGUGAAUUGUUCCACACAACCAGUCAUGCUUCAUUGUCAAACUAGUGCCUAACUUGUCUGUUUUAACUGGAAGGGAUGCACUUUCAGUCUGGAAGCCCCCUCAUCGUGAAAAGAGGGUUCUUGUGGCCAUCCCACUUUUAGUGGGUCUGCUGGCUGCUAUGGGUACGGCUGGGAUAGGAGUGUCUCAGGUUCGUUAUAAUGAACCAGCUCAAGUCAGAUUUUGAUGCUUUUACGAAGUCAGCCCUAGCCCUCUAACACAACUUGACUCCUUGGCAGCUGUAGUGCUCCAGGACUGGCAAAGACUAGUGGGCCUGCUCACCACUGCCCAAGGAGGUAUCUGUGUGGUAGGGAAGAGGCCCUGCAGCAGCCAACCAACCAAGAUUGCUCCUCCCUGGGGUUCCGGUGACUAUCACCUCACAAUGGCUGCUGGGUAAUAAUCAGGGUUCCCUUUAGAAAAAGGUAUAGAGGUGAUGCCCUGUAAGAAAAAUAACUCACAAGGGCAUCAAAGAGGGGAAUGAAGUGAAAAUAUAUUAUUGAGCAAAUGAAUAUAAUAAAGAUUCCAGCAGAACUUCCGGCCCAGGUGCAAUGAACACAGGCAUAAUCAAAAGUUUACUUACUUACAUCUCCUUCCCUUUCAAGAUUUACCAUCCUCAGCACUCUUGUCUACAAGGUCAGGCAGCCGGCCAAGCUGGUCUGUCUUUCCAAGGCCAUCCCCGAAUGCCUGCAUCUUUCCCACCUUGUCUGGGGACUUUGCCUCAAAUGGUUGUGCCUGCUGAAAAACGAUGUUAUCAGUGUAACAGAUAUGGACACAGUUGUGUAUAAAAAGAACUCUUGGUCUUUAAACAGGUGCUCAGACCUUAUGGGGCUACCCAGGUCUGGGACCCCAUACAUGAGUAAUAAAGCUGCUCCUGAA
This is a long non-coding RNA of Talpa occidentalis (Iberian mole), 2205 nucleotides long. RefSeq lists it as uncharacterized. Lineage: Eukaryota; Metazoa; Chordata; Mammalia; Eulipotyphla; Talpidae. The record is from RefSeq and is a predicted model, not a curated record. The transcript is spliced from 3 exons.